UGAGCAAACCGGGUGACCGCUCUCCGCCGCAUGGCGUGGCGGGGAGAGGAAAGUCCGAACUCCACAGGGCAACCUAGCGGGUAAUGCCCGUCCACCGUGAGGUGCGGAUUCGAGCCACAGUGACGAUGCCCCCAGCUUUGCACCGCUGACUCGGUUGGCGGAAUGCUGCGGCGGGGGAGUGAAACGCGGCAAUCUCUAGGUGGAGCAAGAGCAAAUAGGGGAGGAGUCCACUGCCAUGCGCAGCGGAUACGUGUGCCCCUCACGUUAGAACUCCCGGGUCGCUCGCUUGAGGUGCUUGGCAACAGGCAUCCCAGAUAAAUGGUCACCUCCCGUCACAUACCGUUGCGGGAACAGAAUUCGGCUUAUAGGUUUGCUCGCUCA
RNAcentral lists this RNase P RNA (381 nucleotides) under Candidatus Omnitrophota bacterium. RNAcentral describes it as "Candidatus Omnitrophica bacterium RNase P RNA component class A". It matches the Rfam family "Bacterial RNase P class A". From Rfam's summary of the family: Ribonuclease P (RNase P) is a ubiquitous endoribonuclease, found in archaea, bacteria and eukarya as well as chloroplasts and mitochondria. Its best characterised activity is the generation of mature 5'-ends of tRNAs by cleaving the 5'-leader elements of precursor-tRNAs. Cellular RNase Ps are ribonucleoproteins. The record is from RNAcentral. Lineage: Bacteria; Pseudomonadati; Candidatus Omnitrophota.